Molecule: ribosomal RNA, 486 nt
Filed under: uncultured bacterium
Lineage: Bacteria
Description: bacterial SSU rRNA
Rfam family: Bacterial small subunit ribosomal RNA
Source: RNAcentral
GAUGAACGCUAGCGGCAGGCUUAAUACAUGCAAGUCGAGGGGCAUCAAGGUACACGAAAGUGUAUUGUUGGCGACCGGCGGACGGGUGAGUAAUAGGUAGGUAACCUACCUCAUACUGAGGCAUAGCUGGGAGAAAUUCCAGGUAAUUCCUCAUGAGGUUAUAUGACACAUGUGAUAUAAUCAAAGGUAUCGCAAGGUACUGGUAUGAGAUGGGCUUACUGACCAUUAGCUAGUUGGUGAGAUAAGAGCUCACCAAGGCGAAGAUGGUUAGGGGUUUUGAGAGAGAGAUCCCCCACAUUGGAACUGAGAUACGGUCCAGACUCCUACGGGAGGCAGCAGUAGGGAAUAUUGGGCAAUGGGCGGAAGCCUGACCCAGCCAUGCCGCGUGAAGGAAGACGGCCUUAUGGGUUGUAAACUUCUUUACUAUGCGACUAACUAGAUUUACGAGAUAAUUCUAUAGAAUGUAGCAUAGACAAAAAGCAACCC